RNAcentral lists this small nuclear RNA (22 nucleotides) under Arabidopsis thaliana (thale cress). RNAcentral describes it as "snRNA_11274". Lineage: Eukaryota; Viridiplantae; Streptophyta; Magnoliopsida; Brassicales; Brassicaceae. The record is from RNAcentral.
AGGAAAAAAUUCUCGACUUUUC